AAAAUAUUAGUAUAUAUUAAGUAUUUUAAAUUGUAAAUUUAAAGGUUUUUAUUUUA
This 56-nucleotide transfer RNA is filed under the name Diploscapter coronatus. RNAcentral's name for it is "tRNA-Tyr". RNAcentral also lists the same sequence under 1 other name. The record is from RNAcentral. Lineage: Eukaryota; Metazoa; Nematoda; Chromadorea; Rhabditida; Rhabditidae.